Molecule: long non-coding RNA, 453 nt
Organism: Melanaphis sacchari
Lineage: Eukaryota; Metazoa; Arthropoda; Insecta; Hemiptera; Aphididae
Exons: 3
Source: RefSeq, a predicted model, not a curated record
GUAAGUUCUCUAUAAUUAUUUUAUGCACCUAUCAAUUUACAACGCGCGGGAAAUUAACACAAUACCUUUAACUACUUUCCCACAAUCAUUCAAAACUAUAUGAGAAAAUAAAUUUCGCUUUUCACAACGGAACGGUCACUGUUUAAAGUAAAUUGUAGCUAACCGUUUGUUAAGUCUCAGAAACGUAUUUGGAUUUUAGCGUCUGCGAAAGUGAUUUAACUUAAAUACCUACUGUAUACUUUAUUAUAUUGUUAAUUUACAAAAAAUCAUAUUAAGUAAAUACAGCAGUCUACGAGAUUGUGGAUAGAACCCCAUAAAUCAUUCAUCCAUAGGAUUACAGGAACCUGUUAUAUUUAGCAUUAACCAAUAAAUAGUAAAUUGACUAAUUAUUUUCGACGUUAUGAUGAAAAAUUCGAUGAUGUCAAAUAACAAGAAACACGAUUUAUCGAAUAG